GGGCAGCCAGAGGGGGAGUGCAGGCCGGGGACUCUUCCUGCACCGGCUCCAGGGACAGGCCUGAACCCAUGGUGCUUCUCCUUCCUUCAGGGGUAUUUUAAACGUAUGGGAUUCUUUCCCAAGCAGUUCCCCCAUUGCCUGGCAGUGGCCUGGAGGUGGCAGUGAGGCCACAGAUGUGCCUCUAGCGGAAUUGUGAGGGUGGAUUCCUCCCCUGCUCACAUGCUGGAACAGGGAUCUGAGCUCAGGAACUUGAAGGAGGGGCUCAUCCAGAGCACUGGCUUCAUGGGACAGUGGCACUGUUGUCCCACUGUCCCCAAAGUUUUGUCUCCCUGACUGGCCUGAAAUUCCACCAUUAGAGUUUUAUUUCUUCGGAUAUUCUUGUAAAAUGUCAGUGCACCUAUUGGAGCUGGCCAGUGAGUCCCUUGCAUCUGGAGGUGAAGAGGCCCCUGAGGAGGGGGGUGGAAAACUCCUAAGGAGAGGCGGGGAGUGUGUGGAGCCUCACCCUUCACCCCUGUGCCAAUCAGAAGGCAGCAGUGAGUCAGCGGGAGGAAACCAGGCCCUGAGGCGCACGUGGCAGGCCCGUCUGCCCGCCUGCCCCUGACUCGGGGGCCUUCCAGGGCCAAGGCUAGGACCAGGCCGUCCUGUCUGGAGACCGGCUCUUACAGACCAAGGAGGUGCCUGCCCUUCUGUGUCCCUGGAGCUGGGCUGUGGCCCGCGGGCUGUGACAGACGACUGCAGCAGCGGGCCGGCCGUGCCCGCCGCUCCUCCUCCUCACCUGCCGCUGGGUCCCCAGAACUGGCAUCUCCUGGGCCUCGCCGACCGGCCUCCACUCCAGGGAGCCGACCCGAAGCAGCUCCGGGCCGGGAAGGGGACCACACCUGCACAGCGGACAGGGGCCCCGGGGGGACGUCCUGGCCUGGCUCCGGGUGGAGACAAGACUCCACCAACUCUGCCAAGCCCAGAGGACUUCCGGGGCAGCCCCCAGGGCGUCCCUACAGAGCCCAGCCAUCUUGGCGGGGAGGGGAGGGCGGGAGGCCAGGUCUGCCGAUGCCUAGCCGCCCCCCAGCCCUGAGCCCCGGGUGGCCCGUGGGGCACAUGGAAGUUUCCUGGGACUGGCCCUUGGAGGGGGGCAGUCUGGCUGCCUGCGGUACCGGAGGAGGGUAGGGGUCCUCUCCUCGCUCCGUCGGGGCACCAGGACCGCGGCUGGCACUCCCCCCGGGCACUGCUGCCUCUCAGAGCUGCCGCCUCCCAACUCCCGCACGGCCCGACCUGUGCCUUUCAUUUCUGUCCUCUCCCAGCGCUCCGCGGUCGGGAACAAAGUCUGCCUCUCACCCAUCGCUAAUUUCUCCUCAUUAAAGGCCUUUUCUGGAUCAGGGAGACGAA
This is a long non-coding RNA of Suricata suricatta (meerkat), 1383 nucleotides long. RefSeq lists it as uncharacterized. The record is from RefSeq and is a predicted model, not a curated record. The transcript is spliced from 2 exons. NCBI's taxonomy places the organism in Eukaryota, Metazoa, Chordata, Mammalia, Carnivora, Herpestidae.